RNAcentral lists this ribosomal RNA (500 nucleotides) under uncultured bacterium. RNAcentral describes it as "bacterial SSU rRNA". It matches the Rfam family "Bacterial small subunit ribosomal RNA", at positions 378 to 896 of the family's 1533-position model. The record is from RNAcentral.
CAAGCCUGAUCUAGCGAUGCCGCGUGAGUGAUGAAUGCCUUAGGGUCGUAAAGCUCUUUCGCCUGUGAAGAUAAUGACGGUAGCAGGUAAAGAAACCCCGGCUAACUCCGUGCCAGCAGCCGCGGUAAUACGGAGGGGGUUAGCGUUGUUCGGAAUUACUGGGCGUAAAGCGCACGUAGGCGGACUAGUCAGUCAGAGGUGAAAUCCCAGGGCUCAACCCUGGAACUGCCUUUGAUACUGCUAGUCUUGAGUUCGAGAGAGGUAAGUGGAAUUCCGAGUGUAGAGGUGAAAUUCGUAGAUAUUCGGAGGAACACCAGUGGCGAAGGCGGCUUACUGGCUCGAUACUGACGCUGAGGUGCGAAAGUGUGGGGAGCAAACAGGAUUAGAUACCCUGGUAGUCCACACCGUAAACGAUGAAUGCCAGACGUCGGGUAGCAUGCUAUUCGGUGUCACGCCUAACGGAUUAAGCAUUCCGCCUGGGGAGUACGGUCGCAAGAUUA